Molecule: RNase P RNA, 385 nt
Filed under: Ferrimonas aestuarii
Lineage: Bacteria; Pseudomonadati; Pseudomonadota; Gammaproteobacteria; Alteromonadales; Ferrimonadaceae
Description: Bacterial RNase P class A
Rfam family: Bacterial RNase P class A
About the family: Ribonuclease P (RNase P) is a ubiquitous endoribonuclease, found in archaea, bacteria and eukarya as well as chloroplasts and mitochondria. Its best characterised activity is the generation of mature 5'-ends of tRNAs by cleaving the 5'-leader elements of precursor-tRNAs. Cellular RNase Ps are ribonucleoproteins.
Source: Rfam by way of RNAcentral
GGAGUUGGCUAGACAAUCGCUGCUUCGUCGUUGUGCUUGACCUUUGGGGACAGCAGACGGGCGAAGGGGAGGAAAGUCCGGGCUCCAUAGAGCAGGGUGCCAGAUAACGUCUGGGGAGCGAAAGCUUACGACCAGUGCAGCAGAGAGUAGACCGCCGAUGGCGUAGCAAUACGCACAGGUAAGGGUGAAAGGGUGCGGUAAGAGCGCACCGCGCGGCUAGUAAUAGUUCGUGGCACGGUAAACUCCACCCGGAGCAAGACCAAAUAGGGUUCCUUAUGGCGUGGCUCGCGUUGGAACCGGGUAGGUUGCUUGAGCCUAGGAGCGAUUCUAGGCCUAGAUGAAUGAUUGUCCACGACAGGACCCGGCUUAUCGGCUGACUCCAACC